This 172-nucleotide small RNA is filed under the name Achromobacter piechaudii. RNAcentral describes it as "Manganese sequence". It matches the Rfam family "Manganese Mn2+ riboswitch aptamer (yybP-ykoY)". Rfam says of the family: This RNA was originally discovered in E. coli during a large scale screen and was named SraF. The record is from RNAcentral. Lineage: Bacteria; Pseudomonadati; Pseudomonadota; Betaproteobacteria; Burkholderiales; Alcaligenaceae.
CGUUCACUCUUUGGGGAGUAGCCGCCUUUCAGCCUGUUCUGAAAGGGCUUACGUCAACAUUCUUGGCCCUAGCCGGCCAUGGCGUAAGCGGCAUUGCGCUUGGCGAGACCACGGACUUUUCACACGACGCUGGGCGGUGUGAAGGGUCUGUGCCGUUCUCGCCCAGUUGGAC